GUGUCAGCAGCCGCGCGGUAAUACGGAGGGCGCAAGCGUUAAUCGGAAUUACUGAGCGUAAAGCGCACGCAGGCGGUUUGUUAAGUCAGAUGUGAAAUCCCCGGGCUCAACCUGGGAACUGCACCUGAUACUGGCAAGCUUGAGUCUCGCAGAGGGGGGUAGAAUUCCAGGUGUAGCGGUGAAAUGCGUAGAGAUCUGGAGGAAUACCGGUGGCGAAGGCGGCCCCCUGGACGAAGACUGACGCUCAGGUGCGAAAGCGUGGGGAGCAAACAGGAUUAGAUACCCUGGUAGUCCACGCCGUAAACGAUGUCGACUUGGAGGUUGUGCCCUUGAGGCGUGGCUUCCGGAGCUAACGCGUUAAGUCGACCGCCUGGGGAGUACGGCCGCAAGGUUAAAACUCAAAUGAAUUGACGGGGGCCCGCACAAGCGGUGGAGCAUGUGGUUUAAUUCGAUGCAACGCGAAGAACCUUACCUGGUCUUGACAUCCACGGAAGUUUUCAGAGAUGAGAAUGUGCCUUCGGGAACCGUGAGACAGGUGCUGCAUGGCUGUCGUCAGCUCGUGUUGUGAAAUGUUGGGUUAAGUCCCGCAACGAGCGCAACCCUUAUCCUUUGUUGCCAGCGGUCCGGCCGGGAACUCAAAGGAGACUGCCAGUGAUAAACUGGAGGAAGGUGGGGAUGACGUCAAGUCAUCAUGGCCCUUACGACCAGGGCUACACACGUGCUACAAUGGCGCAUACAAAGAGAAGCGACCUCGCGAGAGCAAGCGGACCUCAUAAAGUGCGUCGUAGUCCCGGAUUGGAGUCUGCAACUCGACUCCAUGAAGUCGGAAUCGCUAGUAAUCGUGGAUCAGAAAUGCCACGGUGAAUACGUUCCCGGGCCUUGUACACACCGCCCGUCACACCAUGGGAGUGGGUUGCAAAAGAAGUAGGUAGCUUAACCCUUCGGGUAGGGCGCUUACCACUUUGUGAUUCAUGACUGGGUUGAAGUCGUAACAAGGUUACCCAAUCCAU
Molecule: ribosomal RNA, 1010 nt
Filed under: uncultured bacterium
Lineage: Bacteria
Description: bacterial SSU rRNA
Rfam family: Bacterial small subunit ribosomal RNA
Source: RNAcentral